GAAUACCUGCCACCGGGCAGUGGAUGCGAAAGCAUCCUGGCACAUCGUUAGGUCUUUGAAGAUGUGCCGGGAUGCUUUUUUGUUUC
Molecule: non-coding RNA, 86 nt
Filed under: unclassified sequences
Source: RNAcentral